AGGACGGCAGCGGACAUGUCAGCCUCGCUUGCGCCCUGUUCUCCGCUGGGGCUCCUCUGAGAAGUUGCUUUUCCUGCCCCCAGAGGCAGAAUCUUCGGCUGGGAGACGCUGCCUCAGGCCAGGCGAUUGGGGGAAGCAGCCGGAAAAGGGGUAAGAAGGGAACAGAAACCUGGGAGGCUGGCAGGCCUGACUGCCUUUCUACUCCCUCCUGGCUUAGGCGCCUUCUUUUGAUAGACACUCAUGGAAUCGUAGAGUUGGAAGGGGCACCCGGGGGUCAUCCAGCCCAACCCCCUGCAAUGCAGGAAUCUCAGCUGAAGAAUCCUUGACCGAUGGCCAUCCAACCUCUGCUUAAAAACCUCCAAGGAAGGAGAUUGCACCACCUUCCGAGGGAGCUGGAAGCCAGAGCUAUUCCUUCCUUCCCUCUCCCUCCCUCCCUUCCUUCCUUCCUUCCUUCCUUCCUUCCUUCCUUCCUUCCCUCCCUCCCUCCCUUCCUUCCUUCCUUCCUUCCUUCCUUCCUUUCUUUCUUUCUUUCUUUCUUUCUUUCUUUCUUUCUUUCUUUCUUUCUUUCUUUCCCGCUCCACUUCCUGCUCCGCUCCUGCUUCCCUCCCUCGCCUCCUCCUGGGGGUUUUCCGGAGCCUGGGCUCCAGGCCCACAACCUGGCAGCCGCCCCACCCUGCUCUGUGGGGCAGAGGGAAGCUGAGAGCCUGCAGGCCUCCUCCUCUUUGGCGAGGGCAGCCAGCGCUUCUUGGGUGCCUGCCUGCCUCUUGCCGGCCACCCCUGGCAUCUUCCCUCCCCUGCCGCAACCUGCCCAGCUGCCGCCAUCUUAUCGGGGCAUCAAAGGCGGCCUGCUGGCGCACAGCCCGGCCUGCCAGCGGGUGCUGGAUGAGGCCCAGGAGUCCUUGGGACUUUGCCCUGCGGGGUGUGCCCAGCCGUUCCGCGGGAAGGGGUGAAAGGGCCAGGCCCCUUCCCCCUGAGCAUGUGCAGAGUGCAUCUCUUGAUGACGAGGCAGGGCGAGCUGCAGGCGGGCCCGGAUCUCCUUCCUCGUCCCGUUAUUAAAGAGGGCAACCUUGGCAUUAGAGUUUAGACUCGUCGGAUGGUAGAGUCGGGAGGGGACCUCCAAGGGCCAUCUAGUCCAGCCCCCCCAAAUGCAGCAAUCGCAUUUCAAUUGGAAGCGGGGCUCAGCGAUGCCAGCCUUCAUUUUGCCAUCCUUCAUCCUGUGGGUUACAAACCGGUCAGACAGUAUAACGCGGCACGGACAUAAAAAGUGAAGGAACAAGAGUGCCCCUGAGCGCGUGCGGAGUGCACUUGCCUCACCACUCAACCGCAGCCGGUUGGAGGCAAGCAGACACCUGCCCUGGGGUUGCUACCACCUGGCCAGAGCCUGCAAAGAGAGGGGGCAGUCUAGGCACUGAUCAGCCAUGUUGGGAGGGGGGGGCAACCAGCCUGGGUCCCCUGGAGCCCCCUCCCUUUCCUCAGCCCCACAUUCUCCGGGAUUGGGGAGCUCUUGGCCUGAGGCCUCCUUCCUGCCAGGCGGGGGUUUGACUAGAUUCCAAUUCCUGGGUUCUGCGGAGGCUUCGGCUGCCGGACUCCUGGGUCCUCUCCCGGACUCCUGGGUCCUCUCCCUGCCCUCAUGCUCCAGGGCUGGCAGGCUCCUUGCCUGGCCCCACCCUGCUGCAGGAUCCAACUUGAUAUGGGGGGGGCAAGAGGAGGAGGAGGAAGGGCCCUAGCUGCACCCUCCCUGCCCAUCAGCACCCGCAGGGGGCGGCUGCCGGCUUGGCAAGGACAGACUGUUCCUGCUGGAGUUGGCGUUCAGCUUGGCCUCGCCCGCCCCCCUACCUGUGGGCCUCGCAGGGAGGGCGUGUAGGGGCUUGCAUGGCGGGGGGCGGGGAGGGAGAGAGAUGGAGGAAAGUGGAAAAACUUGGGGUGGGGGAGCAGUUGGGUUGCCUUUAAAGUGGGCAUGGGAAAGGGUUUGCCAAGUUGUGCCAGCAGGGGUGCCCAGGAUGCACCUUGCGCUCGUCAAAAGCUAAGAUCCUGGAGCCACAGACUUGCAGGCUUGGAAGGGACCCCCAGGGGACAUCUAGUCUAAGCCCCCGCAAGGCACAAAUGCAUCCAGGACAGAUGGAGAGGUCAGCCCCAUGGGUGGGGGGGGGGCUGCGGGAAAAAAAAAAAAGGCAAAUUCCACGCUGGGGAUCCUCGGAAAGGAAUUGGGAAUAAAACGGAUGCUGCUGUACAAAUCUCUGCUGCGACGGCAUUGGCAGUCCUGUGCCUGGUUCUGGGUGCCUCGUCUCAUAACGGAGAUCGAAGAGCUGGAAAAGGUUUCGAAAAGGGCAGCCCAUAUGUUCAAGGAAGGAAGGGAAGGAGUCACUGUGGCAGCAUUUGGGACUUUGUAGUUUGGAGAAGAGCUAAAAGGCAAAAGGUUUCUCAGAAUAUGCCUGGGGGGAGGGCAUUGUUGUUUAGUUGUGUCCGACUCUUCGUGACCCCCUGGACCAGAGCACGCCAGGCACUCCUGUCUUCCACUGCCUCCCGCAGUUUGGUCAAACUCAUGCUGGUAGCUUCGAGAACACUGUCCCACUAUCUCGUCCUCUGUCGUCCCCUUCUCCUUGUGCCCUCUAUCUUUCCCAACAUCAGAGUCUUUUCCAGGGAGUCUUCUCUUCUCAUGAGGUGGCCAAAGUCUUGGAGCCUCAGCUUCAGGAUCUGUCCUUCCAGUGAGCACUCAGGGCUGGUUUCCUUCAGAAUGGAGAGGUUUGAUCUUCUUGCAGUCCAUGGGACUCUCCAGAGUCUCCUCCAGCACCAUAAUUCAAAAGCAUCCAUUCUUCGGCAAUCAGCCUUCUUUAUGGUCCAGCUCUCACUUCCAUACAUCACUACUGGGAAAACCAUGGCUUUAACUAUACGGCCUUUGCUGGCAAGAUGAUGUCUCUGCUUCACCUUGCAGAGAGGAGGAGGGCAUGGAGAACAGUUUUCUUGUAACCCAAGAAUUCGUGAAGAUUCAGGACAGAUAAAAGUCUUUCUUCUAGCAGCACAGAGUUAAUCUGCGGAACUCCGUCCCACAGGAGGCAGGGAUGAGAACCAACUUGGAUGUCUUUAGAAGAGGACUGGACAAAUUCACAGGGGAGGAGGCAGAACCAGGUGGGUCCUUGGCCUGACGCAGCAGGCAGGCUCUUGGGAUGCUUUUACGCACAGGGCCAUCAGCGCCAGACCAGCUCCAAGCAUGAAUCAGCCGCAAAUUUCACAGGGCACCAGAGCUCCAGGCUGCCCACUCCUCCAGCUCCAAGGGCCUUUCCCUGCCUGCAGGGAGGGCGUCAGAGGAGCCAGCCAUCCCAGUCUCCCUGUGGGUCCUCUCCCUCCCAGGUCGGGUGAGAGGGAUUAGCUGUUCCUCCUCCCGGUGCCAGGCUUUGGCUGGACCCACCCGCUUCCUUGUGAUCAAGUUGGCAAGAGCAGCCGAGCCAGUUCUUUGUCCACCGGUCAAGAAAGGAGCCUCUGCCCGUUUGCCUGUCUUUGGGAAGAGGCUCUGGAUCGGGGCCGGCGACUCGUUUGCGCUCCAGGGUGUGAUCCUGGUCAGGUUGGAGCCCCCAGAGAUGGGCAGGACCCCCCGGGAGACAGAGGGAAGGGUAUGUGCUUUUGCAGGCUGGCUUCUCCUGGUGGCACACGGUGGAUCAGCGCUGUGCCACCAGGCCUGGCAUGCUUCUGUCUGGCCAGCUGCCCAGAUGCAUUGUGGAUUGGCCGUUAUGGGGGGGGGGGAGCAGGAUGAGUGCCGGGCCUGACCAAGGGAGAAGAGAGCAGGACUAGGACGUCCCUUGAUCUGGACACUCGACUUCUGCGGAUGCAGCCGAGAAUAGCCUUCGCUUGUUUUGCUGUAGCAUCACAAUUUUUGCCAACCAGGACAGCAAAGCAGUCUUGCUGUCUUGUUAGGUUCAUGAGCCCAUUCAUCCCCAAAGGAUCUGGGUGGAAUUCAGACCUGCUAAAACUUUCCCCUUUAUCAUGUACAUGAAAUGUAUUAAGGUCAGAGACCAGCUUUUGAGAAACACAAAUGGAACUACAAUCCCAACAGCAAAACAAACAUUUAAAACAAUAUACAACAAUGGAUUUUAAGUUUAGAAGUGCGAAAGGCAUGUAAACAUGUGAUCGAAGGUAAGGUAGUCUAUUUUAAAUGUGUUUAUAUGCCUUUCGCACUUCUAUCACAUGUGGUGGACCUGUCCCAAGGUGAAAGACUUCUGGGAAAAGAUAUAUAAUGAAUUGAAAAAAAUGUUGAAAUAUACAUUCAUAAAGAAACCAGAGGCCUUUCUUCCCAAGAAAGAUGUUAAAUUAUUUUUGUAUGCCACAGCUGCUGCUCAUAUUUUAUUAGGUAGCUAAAAAGUGGACAACCCAAGAAUUACCAACGAUAGAAGAAUGGCAGAUGAAGAUGAUGGAUUUUUUGGAGCUGGCCGACCUAACUGGAAGAGUCCGCAACCAGGAAGAAUGGAAAAAAAUUAAUGAUUAUUUGAUUAAAUAUGUUAAGUUAAAUUAGUUGGAAAUAACUUGCAGAUAACUAAUUGGCUUAGGAUUUUAUAUAAGUUAAGUGAUGAAUCAAUUUGUAUAAUUUCAAAAUGAAAAGACUGAAAGAUGUUAAAGCUAAAGGUAAAUCUUAUAAGAACUGUGAUUUGGAAAACCGUUAAAUGGAUAUGCAUGGAAAUUCAACCAAGGGGAAGCGAGGAAGUCACUUAACAAUGUUAGUAAGUAUAAUUUUUAAUAAGAUUAUGAUUUGUGCUUGUUUGUUUGUUUAUAAUUUUUUGAAAAUUAAUAAUUUUUUUGGAAAAAAAUAAAAUAAAUAAAAUAGACUACCUUAGAGAAA
This is a non-coding RNA of Podarcis lilfordi (Lilford's wall lizard), 4828 nucleotides long. The record is from the annotation of a GenBank genome assembly. NCBI's taxonomy places the organism in Eukaryota, Metazoa, Chordata, Lepidosauria, Squamata, Lacertidae.